GACGAACGCUGGCGGCGUGCCUAAUACAUGCAAGUCGAACGCACUCUCGUUUAGAUUGAAGGAGUUUGCUCCUGAUUGAUAAACAUUUGAGUGAGUGGCGGACGGGUGAGUAACGCGUGGGUAACCUGCCCUAAAGUGGGGGAUAACAUUUGGAAACAGAUGCUAAUACCGCAUAAAACCUAACACCGCAUGGUGUAGGGUUGAAAGAUGGUUUCGGCUAUCACUUUAGGAUGGACCCGCGGUGCAUUAGUUAGUUGGUGAGGUAAAGGCUCACCAAGACCGUGAUGCAUAGCCGACCUGAGAGGGUAAUCGGCCACACUGGGACUGAGACACGGCCCAGACUCCUACGGGAGGCAGCAGUAGGGAAUCUUCCACAAUGGACGAAAGUCUGAUGGAGCAACGCCGCGUGAGUGAAGAAGGUUUUCGGAUCGUAAAACUCUGUUGUUGGAGAAGAAUGUAUCUGAUAGUAACUGAUCAGGUAGUGACGGUAUCCAACCAGAAAGCCACGGCUAACUACGUG
Molecule: ribosomal RNA, 520 nt
Filed under: uncultured bacterium
Lineage: Bacteria
Description: partial 16S ribosomal RNA
Rfam family: Bacterial small subunit ribosomal RNA
Source: RNAcentral